Acanthosepion pharaonis is the source of this 111-nucleotide non-coding RNA. The record is from the annotation of a GenBank genome assembly. Lineage: Eukaryota; Metazoa; Mollusca; Cephalopoda; Sepiida; Sepiidae.
UACGGCCACAUCAUGUUUAAACAUCGGUUCCCAUACGAUCACCGAAGUUAAUCAAUGUAGAGUCUAGUCAGUACCUAGAUAGAUGACCGUUUGGGAAUACCAGAUGGUGUA